Molecule: ribosomal RNA, 440 nt
Filed under: Pseudomonas anguilliseptica
Lineage: Bacteria; Pseudomonadati; Pseudomonadota; Gammaproteobacteria; Pseudomonadales; Pseudomonadaceae
Description: bacterial SSU rRNA
Rfam family: Bacterial small subunit ribosomal RNA
Source: RNAcentral
AGCUGAGUUUGAUCCUGGCUCAGAUUGAACGCUGGCGGCAGGCCUAACACAUGCAAGUCGAGCGGUAGAGAGAAGCUUGCUUCUCUUGAGAGCGGCGGACGGGUGAGUAAUGCCUAGGAAUCUGCCUAGUGGUGGGGGAUAACGUUCGGAAACGGACGCUAAUACCGCAUACGUCCUACGGGAGAAAGCGGGGGACCUUCGGGCCUCGCGCCAUUAGAUGAGCCUAGGUCGGAUUAGCUAGUUGGUGAGGUAAUGGCUCACCAAGGCGACGAUCCGUAACUGGUCUGAGAGGAUGAUCAGUCACACUGGAACUGAGACACGGUCCAGACUCCUACGGGAGGCAGCAGUGGGGAAUAUUGGACAAUGGGCGAAAGCCUGAUCCAGCCAUGCCGCGUGUGUGAAGAAGGUCUUCGGAUUGUAAAGCACUUUAAGUUGGGAGG